Molecule: ribosomal RNA, 551 nt
Filed under: uncultured Conexibacter sp.
Lineage: Bacteria; Bacillati; Actinomycetota; Thermoleophilia; Solirubrobacterales; Conexibacteraceae
Description: bacterial SSU rRNA
Rfam family: Bacterial small subunit ribosomal RNA
Source: RNAcentral
UGGGGAAUCUUGCGCAAUGCGCGAAAGCGUGACGCAGCAACGCCGCGUGGAGGAAGACGGCCUUCGGGUUGUAAACUCCUUUCAGUUGGGACGAAGCCUUGCCGGUGAAUAGCCGGUGGAGGUGACGGUACCUUCAGAAGAAGCCCCGGCUAACUACGUGCCAGCAGCCGCGGUAAUACGUAGGGGGCAAGCGUUGUCCGGAAUCAUUGGGCGUAAAGCGCAUGUAGGCGGCCUUGUAAGUCCGUUCUGUAAGCCCGGGGCUCAACCCCGGGAGGCGGAUGGAUACUGCAAGGCUCGAGUCCGGAAGAGGCGAGUGGAAUUCCCGGUGUAGCGGUGAAAUGCGCAGAUAUCGGGAGGAACACCAAUGGCGAAGGCAGCUCGCUGGGACGGUACUGACGCUGAGACGCGAAAGCGUGGGGAGCAAACAGGAUUAGAUACCCUGGUAGUCCACGCCGUAAACGAUGGACACUAGGUGUGGGAGGUGUCGACUCCUUCCGUGCCGAAGCUAACGCAUUAAGUGUCCCGCCUGGGGAGUACGGCCGCAAGGCUAA